Long non-coding RNA from Sapajus apella (tufted capuchin), 1072 nucleotides. RefSeq lists it as uncharacterized. The record is from RefSeq and is a predicted model, not a curated record. NCBI's taxonomy places the organism in Eukaryota, Metazoa, Chordata, Mammalia, Primates, Cebidae. The transcript is spliced from 2 exons.
AAUACAUAAAUUUCACUUCUUUUUCUGUCCUUUUGCCAGAAAAAGGCCUACAUUGCAAUAUAUGAAGGUAGGAUUAUAGUAGAAAAUGAGGAAUGGCUAUCAUGUAGAAAUUCUGUACUUAAAGGACAGAACAUCAACUCUAAGUGAAGUAAAAUGUCACAGUUUUGGGUUUUCUCCCAUUGAGAAGGUUAAUACAUGAAAUAACCUUUUGUGGUGGUACGUGAAAUAACUGAAUUGCACAGUGGUGAGGAAUGGCUGUGGAAGAAGGAAGCCCUUUUAUGGGUCACAUAUGCACAAGUGACCAUGUCCUAGUGUGACCAGCUACUCUGGUUUGCUAAAGGCUGAGGGGGAUACCAGGAUGCUGGACUCUUCGGUGCUCAAACUCGGAUAGUUUUGGGAAAACUGAGAGAAGUCGGUUGCGCUAUUAUGCCCCCUGUCUACAUAACAGAUUAAUUCAGAUGAGGGCAUAUCCUAAACCAGACCAUUUAGACUCUUUGCCCUAGAAAUUUUAAAUGAGGCAGAAACACAAAGAGAAUAUAGUUACUCAUUAGAACUGAGUCACACAAAUGGCACUUCCUUAUAGAAAAGAUCUAUUAACACCCUUUGCCAAAGACCCAGGACCUGCCCUGUUUCCUUUGGUUACAGGAGAUAUCCCUGUAUAAUUCCAAAACUUUUUCUUUUUUGGCUAGUCAAAGACGAUUGCUGUUGCUUGCAACCAAAAUAAUCUUAAGGAGGGUAUUUAUGUCCAAUCCCUAUAUAAGGUAAUGUGCUCCAAGAGCCCCUUCUGAAUGGGCACUGAGCUUAAUGAAGCGUACUCAUUGCCACAGCAAACAAGACCAGGUAUGAACACUAAACUCAAACAGGCCUAGAAAGUCUCACAUGCAUGGAUUUUGCAAUGCACUUACAGGACUCCACUCUUGCAUGCUUAAUUAAAAUGUUGUCUAAACCUAGAAUUAGGUUAGGCAUGAGUAAGUUCUUCAAAACUGAUGGGAAAAAAGGGAGAGCAACAGGAAUGAUGAAAAGGAAAUCAGGAUAAGGGGAGAAAGAUGGAAAAAGAAGACUUAUCCGAGAG